Molecule: ribosomal RNA, 447 nt
Filed under: uncultured bacterium
Lineage: Bacteria
Description: bacterial SSU rRNA
Rfam family: Bacterial small subunit ribosomal RNA
Source: RNAcentral
UCGAGAAUCUUCCGCAAUGGGCGAAAGCCUGACGGAGCGACGCCGCGUGCGGGAUGAAGGCCUUCGGGUUGUAAACCGCUGUCGAAGGGGAGCAAAUUUGAGCGAUCCUUGGAGGAAGCACGGGCUAAAUUCGUGCCAGCAGCCGCGGUAAUACGAAUUGUGCGAACGUUAUUCGGAAUCACUGGGCUUAAAGGGUGCGUAGGCGGUCAUGUAGGUCUGAUGUGAAAUCCCACGGCUCAACCGUGGAACUGCGUUGGAAACCCCAUGGCUGGAGUAGGACAGAGGUGAGCGGAACAGAUGGUGGAGCGGUGAAAUGCGUUGAUAUCAUCUGGAACACCGGUGGCGAAAGCGGCUCACUGGGUCCUAACUGACGCUGAUGCACGAAAGCCAGGGGAGCAAACGGGAUUAGAUACCCAAGUAGUCCCUGAGCGGGCUGGCAAGGCGCAU